This 92-nucleotide microRNA precursor is filed under the name Marmota monax (woodchuck). Lineage: Eukaryota; Metazoa; Chordata; Mammalia; Rodentia; Sciuridae. The record is from RNAcentral.
GAAUUUCCAUGUUUGCUCAAUGGCUGCCAUACUGCUUGUUUUAGUAUGGUAAAAAAAAGCAGUAUGGUAGCCAUUGAGCUACUUGAAAUAUU